ACCAUAACCUUACCCACCAAUUUACUAGCAACUAACAAAAGACUUUGAAAAAACUAGGAAUCCUAACAAUGUGUUACUCUGCCUUCUAAAUAGGAACUUCUAAUCACUUUUCAAUCAAUAUUCAACACUUUCGUCAGAGUUCUUUUCAUGUGGUGGUGAAAUAGUUCAUUUCAAUUCGUCGUCUCAAGUUCGCGACCCAUAACCAGUGAUAUACUCAUUUAAAUAGUGAGCUUGUUUGAGGAAUGACACAUUGAUCCAGCAAGCUGUGACAUUUUGCAUUAGGGAACAAACACCGGCUUAAUUGCCUUUUUUUCUUCAUUGUUGAACGCAUUUUUUGUAUUUUGAUAAUUCAUAUUUUCUUUUACCGCUAUAAGAUAAGAAUUUGAAUGUAUUUAGAUUUUUUGUUCUUAUUUUAAGUGAAUGACAUUGUUUUGAGUUUGGUAA
Molecule: long non-coding RNA, 444 nt
Organism: Solanum lycopersicum (tomato)
Lineage: Eukaryota; Viridiplantae; Streptophyta; Magnoliopsida; Solanales; Solanaceae
Source: RefSeq, a predicted model, not a curated record